CAUAGUAUAGCUUAUCAAGCAUCCCGCUUACACCGAGAAGAUAUCUACUACCUAGAUUACUGUGA
Molecule: transfer RNA, 65 nt
Filed under: Synapturanus sp. MNHN-RA-2020.0087
Lineage: Eukaryota; Metazoa; Chordata; Amphibia; Anura; Microhylidae
Description: tRNA-Val
Source: RNAcentral